Molecule: ribosomal RNA, 440 nt
Filed under: uncultured bacterium
Lineage: Bacteria
Description: partial 16S ribosomal RNA
Rfam family: Bacterial small subunit ribosomal RNA
Source: RNAcentral
CCUACGGGUGGCAGCAGUGGGGGAUAUUGCACAAUGGGGGGAACUCUGAUGCAGCGACGCCGCGUGGGUGAAGAAGCGCCUCGGCGCGUAAAGCUCUGUUAGCAGGGAAGAAAAUGACGGUACCUGAAGAAGAAGCCCCGGCUAACUACGUGCCAGCAGCCACGGUAAUACGGAGGGGGCAAGCGUUAUCCGGAUUUACUGGGUGUAAAGGGGGCGCAGGCGGCGAUGCAAGUCAGGAGUGAAAGGCCGGGGCCCAACCCCGGGACUGCUAUUGGAACUGCGUGGCUGGAGUGCAGGAGGGGCAGGCGGAAUGCCUGGUGUAGCGGUGAAAUGCGUAGAGAUCAGGAGGAACACCGGUGGCGAAGGCGGCCUGCUGGACUACAACUGACGUUGAGGCCCGAAAGCGUGGGGAGCAAACAGGAUUAGAUACCCGGGUAGUC